Molecule: non-coding RNA, 24 nt
Filed under: Arabidopsis thaliana (thale cress)
Lineage: Eukaryota; Viridiplantae; Streptophyta; Magnoliopsida; Brassicales; Brassicaceae
Source: RNAcentral
UGAUGUGCUUAGAUUGUGAUUGUA